GACAGAGGGUGCAAACGUUGUUCGGAAUUACUGGGCGUAAAGCGCGUGUAGGCUACUUGGAAAGUCGGAUGUGAAAGCCCUGGGCUCAACCCAGGAAGGUCGCAGAUGACUGCCUCGCUUGAGGACGGGAGAGGAGAGCGGAAUUCCCGGUGUAGCGGUGAAAUGCGUAGAGAUCGGGAAGAAGGCCGGUGGCGAAGGCGGCUCUCUGGAACGUUCCUGACACUGAGGCACGAAAGCGUGGGGAGCAAACAGG
This 253-nucleotide ribosomal RNA is filed under the name uncultured bacterium. RNAcentral describes it as "partial 16S ribosomal RNA". It matches the Rfam family "Bacterial small subunit ribosomal RNA", at positions 524 to 776 of the family's 1533-position model. The record is from RNAcentral.